ACGGAUCGGGCUGAAACUUUGGCAUCUGGGCCCGUUUGCUCGAAGCUGGUUAACUAACCGCGGUUAACUGGAUUUCCCUACGAGGGGGAAUUUUAGGUCACGUGACCUGCAGAGUAGGGACGCCGGAGUAAAAUAGUACCUAGCAUCAGACAAUAUGUCCAAUAUGGCUGCUACGGCCGCUCGUCACGCUUGGGAACAUUUAUUUUUACGAAGAUGCGUCAUCCUCGUGUCACGAAAAUGACAUUUCAACACAAAGUCUACUGUCGGAGUUGACGGCGAGCAUGCUGUGGGAGCAGGGCCACGCCUGACUGGUUUCGUCGAGUUUGAAUAACAUCACGCACCGCCCUCUGAAGAGUCAGCGGGAUCUUCAAAACGUAUAUCCUAGCGCAUCCACAACACCGACGACCCCCUUUAGCGACGGUUCAACGAAGGCAAGAUGCAAACUAAAAACUUCCCUCAGAAGCAAAGAUCCGUUACCUCAACAGAAGCUGCCGGCACGGAUGCCGGCACGGCAUUCGAUCGAACUUCGGUACUGUCGUCUGCGAACUUGUACAACUGGAAAAUAAACAAAGCUUCUAUCGGAAAAGAAGUGUGCAUAUUUUCUCUUGCGCUUGUCUUUCUUCAAUUUAUUUUGUUUCAGAUAACUAGAUGUCUUAUUAGGAUUAUAAAGAGAGACAUAAUUACGUAGCAGACGAUCACAACCAAUCUGAAAUCUAAAAUGAGUCAGGCGAAUGCAAGCAUCACCAUGAAACGGCAGAGGAAUUGGUCAUUGGAUGAACAAUUAGAACUAAUUCGGGCAGUGGGGGAGAGGAAACAUCAAAUUAUGGGCAAGUUCAGUGCUACGGUGACGAAAUUUACAGAGCCAUGGGCUGUUUGCGCACCCCAGACCAGCUACAACAGUGCUGGAGAAACCUCCUAGAAAAGA
Molecule: long non-coding RNA, 925 nt
Organism: Ixodes scapularis (black-legged tick)
Lineage: Eukaryota; Metazoa; Arthropoda; Arachnida; Ixodida; Ixodidae
Exons: 3
Source: RefSeq, a predicted model, not a curated record